Molecule: ribosomal RNA, 2247 nt
Filed under: Salmonella enterica subsp. enterica serovar Reading
Lineage: Bacteria; Pseudomonadati; Pseudomonadota; Gammaproteobacteria; Enterobacterales; Enterobacteriaceae
Description: bacterial LSU rRNA
Rfam family: Bacterial large subunit ribosomal RNA
Source: RNAcentral
GUGACUGCGUACCUUUUGUAUAAUGGGUCAGCGACUUAUAUUCUGUAGCAAGGUUAACCGUAUAGGGGAGCCGGAGGGAAACCGAGUCUUAAUUGGGCGUUAAGUUGCAGGGUAUAGACCCGAAACCCGGUGAUCUAGCCAUGGGCAGGUUGAAGGUUGGGUAACACUAACUGGAGGACCGAACCGACUAAUGUUGAAAAAUUAGCGGAUGACCUGUGGCUGGGGGUGAAAGGCCAAUCAAACCGGGAGAUAGCUGGUUCUCCCCGAAAGCUAUUUAGGUAGCGCCUCGUGAAUUCAUCUCCGGGGGUAGAGCACUGUUUCGGCUAGGGGGCCAUCCCGGCUUACCAACCCGAUGCAAACUGCGAAUACCGGAGAAUGUUAUCACGGGAGACACACGGCGGGUGCUAACGUCCGUCGUGAAGAGGGAAACAACCCAGACCGCCAGCUAAGGUCCCAAAGUCAUGGUUAAGUGGGAAACGAUGUGGGAAGGCCCAGACAGCCAGGAUGUUGGCUUAGAAGCAGCCAUCAUUUAAAGAAAGCGUAAUAGCUCACUGGUCGAGUCGGCCUGCGCGGAAGAUGUAACGGGGCUAAACCAUGCACCGAAGCUGCGGCAGCGACGCUGAUGCGUUGUUGGGUAGGGGAGCGUUCUGUAAGCCUGCGAAGGUGGCCUGUGAGGGUUGCUGGAGGUAUCAGAAGUGCGAAUGCUGACAUAAGUAACGAUAAAGCGGGUGAAAAGCCCGCUCGCCGGAAGACCAAGGGUUCCUGUCCAACGUUAAUCGGGGCAGGGUGAGUCGACCCCUAAGGCGAGGCCGAAAGGCGUAGUCGAUGGGAAACGGGUUAAUAUUCCCGUACUUGGUGUUACUGCGAAGGGGGGACGGAGAAGGCUAUGUUGGCCGGGCGACGGUUGUCCCGGUUUAAGCGUGUAGGUGUGUGUUCCAGGUAAAUCCGGUUCACUUUAACACUGAGGCGUGAUGACGAGGCACUACGGUGCUGAAGCAACAAAUGCCCUGCUUCCAGGAAAAGCCUCUAAGCAUCAGGUAACAUCAAAUCGUACCCCAAACCGACACAGGUGGUCAGGUAGAGAAUACCAAGGCGCUUGAGAGAACUCGGGUGAAGGAACUAGGCAAAAUGGUGCCGUAACUUCGGGAGAAGGCACGCUGACACGUAGGUGAAGUGAUUUACUCACGGAGCUGAAGUCAGUCGAAGAUACCAGCUGGCUGCAACUGUUUAUUAAAAACACAGCACUGUGCAAACACGAAAGUGGACGUAUACGGUGUGACGCCUGCCCGGUGCCGGAAGGUUAAUUGAUGGGGUCAGCGCAAGCGAAGCUCCUGAUCGAAGCCCCGGUAAACGGCGGCCGUAACUAUAACGGUCCUAAGGUAGCGAAAUUCCUUGUCGGGUAAGUUCCGACCUGCACGAAUGGCGUAAUGAUGGCCAGGCUGUCUCCACCCGAGACUCAGUGAAAUUGAACUCGCUGUGAAGAUGCAGUGUACCCGCGGCAAGACGGAAAGACCCCGUGAACCUUUACUAUAGCUUGACACUGAACAUUGAGCCUUGAUGUGUAGGAUAGGUGGGAGGCUUUGAAGUGUGGACGCCAGUCUGCAUGGAGCCGACCUUGAAAUACCACCCUUUAAUGUUUGAUGUUCUAACGUGGACCCGUAAUCCGGGUUGCGGACAGUGUCUGGUGGGUAGUUUGACUGGGGCGGUCUCCUCCUAAAGAGUAACGGAGGAGCACGAAGGUUGGCUAAUCCUGGUCGGACAUCAGGAGGUUAGUGCAAUGGCAUAAGCCAGCUUGACUGCGAGCGUGACGGCGCGAGCAGGUGCGAAAGCAGGUCAUAGUGAUCCGGUGGUUCUGAAUGGAAGGGCCAUCGCUCAACGGAUAAAAGGUACUCCGGGGAUAACAGGCUGAUACCGCCCAAGAGUUCAUAUCGACGGCGGUGUUUGGCACCUCGAUGUCGGCUCAUCACAUCCUGGGGCUGAAGUAGGUCCCAAGGGUAUGGCUGUUCGCCAUUUAAAGUGGUACGCGAGCUGGGUUUAGAACGUCGUGAGACAGUUCGGUCCCUAUCUGCCGUGGGCGCUGGAGAACUGAGGGGGGCUGCUCCUAGUACGAGAGGACCGGAGUGGACGCAUCACUGGUGUUCGGGUUGUCAUGCCAAUGGCACUGCCCGGUAGCUAAAUGCGGAAGAGAUAAGUGCUGAAAGCAUCUAAGCACGAAACUUGCCCCGAGAUGAGUUCUCCCUGAGACUU